Molecule: long non-coding RNA, 1450 nt
Organism: Gallus gallus (chicken)
Lineage: Eukaryota; Metazoa; Chordata; Aves; Galliformes; Phasianidae
Source: Ensembl
GUGAAAGGCAAAGAGUAUAUUCACCAUGCUAGUUACAGCAGCUCAAAAUAACAUGCAGUUUAUUGCAUUGUUAGCUGGAGAACCUGUCAUGCUCACAAAAAGCUGAAGCAGCCUCCCCGUGUGGGACAAGUGGGCUGUUCAGAACAAUAGCAUGAAGCUUGCGCUUGAGAAACUGCUUUCCUCUCCUCCCCACCACCCUUUUGUUAUGACAUAAUCAUUCAUCUUGCUUUGGGUUUUCUCAAGCUAGUGAGUACAGAGGGGAACCAGAACUGCAACUAGCAGGAGCUAACUCCCUCCCUUCUUAGGUAACUGCAACAGUUCCUCUGAUGACAAGGCAAUUCCAGAUUAACCAGAUUUCCUUUCAAAUCCAGCGUGUGUCUGCUACAGCAACAGAGGCUGAGCCUGGCAAGUAACUCCUUAAAAUCCAAAGGCAGUCUCCUGCGCACCAAAGGGUACAAAAGGAGGAGGGAGGUUUAAUAAGCCAUGUUGGAUUUGCUCAGCCCGUCUGCUGUGGUGAAUUUCCAUGAGCAUAACGAGCUCACAAGAGAUGAGACUGUUUCCAGAAAAUAGACCGAGCCUUCAUUCUGCAAAAGGGACCCUUUUGCAUAGCCACUUUGUUAGCCUUCCUUGUGGCUGAAUCAGAGCCAUCCAAAAGAAGCAAUGUAAGUAUUCAUAUCUACUGGAAGGGGAGAAAAGACACUACCUUGUUCCCGUUAACAGUCAGCUAAUUCCGAAGCAUUGCUGCCCAUAGAACGCAACUUUGAUUUUUGUCAAUUUGGAAUCUCAUCGUUUUCGGAUUCCAUGAGUCUAAGAAGGAAAUUUGAAGCAUGGCCCCUCACUGUUUAGUUCUGGAGAGCAAAUUUUAGGUUCAGUGUUUGAUAUUCCCUUUGCUCUGUGUGACGCCAGUGAGUGAGACUGUUUUAAUCUUCAGCACGUGCUGAUGAGCCUGCUGAGAAGGAAUAAGAUCCAAGAAGCAAUAAGACCCUAAGCACUGCUUUGACCUCUGUGAAUGAAGUCCUUAGCCAAUUCUGUAUGCAGAAACGUUUUCCUCCAUGUAUAAAUGGUUUAAGCAAUCAAUAAAACUCUCAAAAAUACUGUUUCAAACUUUAUUUUCUGAGACACAUUAGUGGCAAACUUUGCUGCUUUCAUGGGGAGCGCUAAAGGUGUUGACUAAGCCUGGCUGUUCUGCAUGCAAUUACUUUGGGGCAAUUGGAAACUCCUGGUUUUGUACAGAUAUCUACCUACUACGAAAUGGCAGAGUCCUCAUUUUUCCUUUAUUUCUUUCUGUUGUUUGGAACAAAGAACACAUGGUGGAAUUAAAUCAAACUAAAGGGGGAAAGGAUGGCAAGGACAUGUAAAGAAGUUUCUGUCGUAGUAGCUAAAAUUGGCUUUAAGGAAAAUGCAGAAACUAAAUGAAAUGCAGAUGGUAACAAUAUGACAACACUAUCAG